Molecule: long non-coding RNA, 563 nt
Organism: Leopardus geoffroyi (Geoffroy's cat)
Lineage: Eukaryota; Metazoa; Chordata; Mammalia; Carnivora; Felidae
Exons: 3
Source: RefSeq, a predicted model, not a curated record
AUCCCACUGGAUUUUGGCUCAGGUCAUGAUCUCAUGGUUAGGGAGACUGAGUCCCAUGUAGGGUUCUGCACUGUCAGCGUGGAGCCUGCUUGGGAUUCUCUCUCUCCCUCUCUGCCCCUCCCCCACUCACUUUCUUUCUCUCUCUCUCAAAAUAAAUAAAUAACCUUAAAAAAAAUUCAACACCUUGGGAGACGUGGGAAGAAGGGAACUUUAAGUUAAAAACAAAGAGAUAUUUCCUUAACUUGAUAAGGAGUACUGACUAGGGCCCCUGUUAAAAAGGGAAAAGACAUCUUUAUAAUAAUAGUAAUGAUAACAAUGACAACAACAACAAAAAUACAUGUUUCAUUAAAAAAAAAAGUUAUAACUAUCAUUAGCUAUAGAAGAUAAGGUUUUCCACCUAGAAAGUCCAAGAUACUUAACUAAAAUAUUACCAGGGAAUUGGGAAUGGUCUCCAAAAGGAGUACUAACCUAAAAAAUCAAUACCUUUUCUAUAUACCAGUAAUAAAAACCUAUUGGAAAUAUGUAAUGGAAAAAAAUAUCCCAACUAUACAGGCAAAAAAGAC